Pomacea canaliculata is the source of this 482-nucleotide long non-coding RNA. RefSeq lists it as uncharacterized. The record is from RefSeq and is a predicted model, not a curated record. NCBI's taxonomy places the organism in Eukaryota, Metazoa, Mollusca, Gastropoda, Architaenioglossa, Ampullariidae. The transcript has 3 exons.
ACUGUGACAAAUGGUUGAUGGGGAACAAACCUUCAGGCGACGCAUUGUAUCCUAUAUAAGCACUUGUAAAGGUUCAGACACAAAAAGACCUUUCUUUGCAAGCUAUCAGUUGAAGAAAGUCAGUUCCUGCGUCUUUAUAAGCUCUAACAUGAAGGCAGUCAUCGUUGUUGUUCUGUGUGCCCUCGUGGCUCUCAGCCAAGCUGGCCUUAUCUACCCAGGCUACGGUAAUGGCGGUUAUGGUGGACGUCUUGGUGGCUUUGGCGGCAUUGGCGGCUACGGAGGUCACGGCGGUGGUCGUGGUGGUUAUGAUGGUUUCGGCGGCUAUGGAGGUGGCUACCCACACUUUAAAGGCUACUACGACUAAAUAAAGACAAACUUUAAAACUAUGGAACCAGAAGAUUGUCUUUGAAGAGAAGCAGCAUAUAUGUACAUAUAAAGAUAUGAUCACGUGAAAUCAAUAAACGCAAUAUUUGAAAAACAAA